AAAACAUGUCUUUUUGAUAAAAAUUUAAAGUCAGGUCUGCUCACUGAACAAUUUUAAAGAGCCGCAGUAUACUGACUGUGCAAAGGUAGCAUAAUCAAUAGUUUUUUAAUUGAAAACUGGAAUGAAAGAUUAGACGAAAAAUUAGUUUUUUUUAUUUUAAUAAGUUUAAUUUUAAUUUUAAGUGAAAAUGCUUAAAUGUAAUUAAAAGACGAGAGACCCUAUAGAUUUUUAUUAUUAAAAUAAAUUUAUAAAUGUGAUUUAAUAAAAUAAUUUAAUUGGGGCGAUUUUAUAAUAUAAAUAACUUAAUUUUUUUAAACCAUAAAUAAUUGAAUUUUUGAUCUAAAACUUUUAAAGAAAAGAUUAAAUUACCUUAGGGAUCGUAAUUUUAUUUAAGAGUUCAUAUCU
This 405-nucleotide ribosomal RNA is filed under the name Ptycta leucothorax. RNAcentral's name for it is "partial 16S ribosomal RNA". The record is from RNAcentral. Lineage: Eukaryota; Metazoa; Arthropoda; Insecta; Psocodea; Psocidae.